UAUCAACUAUUUCAAGUAAAA
Molecule: non-coding RNA, 21 nt
Filed under: Caenorhabditis elegans
Lineage: Eukaryota; Metazoa; Nematoda; Chromadorea; Rhabditida; Rhabditidae
Source: RNAcentral